This 277-nucleotide ribosomal RNA is filed under the name uncultured bacterium. Its description in RNAcentral is "partial 16S ribosomal RNA". It matches the Rfam family "Bacterial small subunit ribosomal RNA", at positions 30 to 312 of the family's 1533-position model. The record is from RNAcentral.
CCUGAACGCUGGCGGCGUGGCUAAGACAUGCAAGUCGAACGGGCAUAGCAAUAUGUCAGUGGCGAACGGGUGAGUAAUGUAUCGCUAACGUACCCUUGUGUUGGGGAUAGCCGGGGGAAACUCCGGGUAAUACCCAAUGACAUCACCGUGAGGCAUCUCAGGGUGCUCAAAGGAGCAAUCCGCAAAAGGAGCGGGCGAUAUCGUAUCAGCUAGUUGGUGAGGUAACGGCUCACCAAGGCGACGACGCGUAGCCGGGCUGAGAGGUUGGCCGGCCACA